CAAGAUAAGAUCUCCACAUAGGGUCGUUGCAGACUACGACGUAGAUAGGUUGCAGGUGCAGGGGCAGCAAUGUCCACAGCCGAGCAAUACUAAUAGCCCGAACCCUUUCC
Molecule: ribosomal RNA, 110 nt
Filed under: Muribaculaceae bacterium Isolate-042 (Harlan)
Lineage: Bacteria; Pseudomonadati; Bacteroidota; Bacteroidia; Bacteroidales; Muribaculaceae
Description: partial 23S ribosomal RNA
Rfam family: Bacterial large subunit ribosomal RNA
Source: RNAcentral